CUGGUGUCAUACGGGUUUUUCUUCUAUUGUUAGAUCACAACUGGGCUCCCUGGAUUCUCUGACAAUGCCACAAUUGGCAGCAUCACUGGCUCUUAGCUACUGAAAACGUAACAGAGAUGAGUCUUGCAACAAGAAAUCAAUGUGAUGGAUAAUAGGCAGGAAAAGCAGCCCCCACAGAAUAAGGGAAGGCCCCACUGAGUCUAAUUUUCAUUGACCCAGUUUCACUGUCAAAGCACAGAACAUAGCAAGAUAGAGUGACCUCCAGAGUCAAAAAGCUUCAGACUACACUGCAAAUGAAGCCACCACGGACUGCCUCUCUCUUUGUCCACAAGCCCAUGGAUGUUAACCACCAGUGAGUGAGUGACAAAGAGAAUUCUCACCUUAGAAAGGAGCAGUUGAAUCCACUCAUCAUUUAAGACAGGCAGUGAGUGAUGAUGGCUGCACUAGCAUCCUGAGGAGGAAAUUAAAGCAUUCGUCGAGGGCCUGACUCAGGAACGGGUGGAGGAAUGGAUUAUGUCAGCCACAGGAGACUAAGAGCAAGGGGAGUUGUGAAAAUGAAUAAAAUGGCUGAACUCCCCAUCUGGGUCAAGGCGAUGGGGAGCAUGGCAUGGUGCGAUGUAGAAGUAAGGUCCCCUGUGAGCCGGAGAAGACAUGGGCAGGAAAACCCAUACCAAAACCUUCCAUAAAUCUCGAGGAAGAGUUGGGUAAGGUGGCUCACGCCU
This 722-nucleotide long non-coding RNA is filed under the name Rhinopithecus bieti (black snub-nosed monkey). RNAcentral's name for it is "lncRNA (ENSRBIG00000046217.1)". Lineage: Eukaryota; Metazoa; Chordata; Mammalia; Primates; Cercopithecidae. The record is from RNAcentral.